GACGAACGCUGGCGGCGUGCUUAACACAUGCAAGUCGAACGAUGAAGCUAGAGCUUGCUCUGGUGAAUUAGUGGCGAACGGGUGAGUAACACGUGAGUAACCUGCCCCGAACUCUGGGAUAACUGCUGGAAACGGUAGCUAAUACUGGAUACGACCUACGGAGGCAUCUUCUGUAGGUGGAAAGAAUUUCGGUUCGGGAUGGACUCGCGGCCUAUCAGCUUGUUGGUGAGGUAAUGGCUCACCAAGGCGACGACGGGUAGCCGGCCUGAGAGGGUGACCGGCCACACUGGGACUGAGACACGGCCCAGACUCCUACGGGAGGCAGCAGUGGGGAAUAUUGCACAACGGGCGCAAGCCUGAUGCAGCAACGCCGCGUGAGGGAUGACGGCCUUCGGGUUGUAAACCUCUUUUAGUAGGGAAGAAGCGAAAGUGACGGUACCUGCAGAAAAAGCACCGGCUAACUACGUGCCAGCCGCCGCAGUAA
This 484-nucleotide ribosomal RNA is filed under the name uncultured bacterium. RNAcentral's name for it is "partial 16S ribosomal RNA". It matches the Rfam family "Bacterial small subunit ribosomal RNA", at positions 28 to 523 of the family's 1533-position model. The record is from RNAcentral.